GGGCCCGUCGUUUAGCUUGGAUUAGGACGCUGGCCUGCGGAGCCGGAGGUCGUGGGUUCAAGUCCCACCGGGCCCACCA
This 79-nucleotide transfer RNA is filed under the name Candidatus Bathyarchaeota archaeon. RNAcentral describes it as "tRNA-Arg". It matches the Rfam family "tRNA". From Rfam's summary of the family: Transfer RNA (tRNA) molecules are approximately 80 nucleotides in length. Their secondary structure includes four short double-helical elements and three loops (D, anti-codon, and T loops). RNAcentral also lists the same sequence under 1 other name. The record is from RNAcentral. Lineage: Archaea; Thermoproteati; Candidatus Bathyarchaeota.